GACGAACGCUGGCGGCGUGCUUAACACAUGCAAGUCGAACGGAAAGGCCCUGCUUUUGUGGGGUGCUCGAGUGGCGAACGGGUGAGUAACACGUGAGUAACCUGCCCUUGACUUUGGGAUAACUUCAGGAAACUGGGGCUAAUACCGGAUAGGAGCUCCUGCUGCAUGGUGGGGGUUGGAAAGUUUCGGCGGUUGGGGAUGGACUCGCGGCUUAUCAGCUUGUUGGUGGGGUAGUGGCUUACCAAGGCUUUGACGGGUAGCCGGCCUGAGAGGGUGACCGGCCACAUUGGGACUGAGAUACGGACCAGACUCCUACGGGAGGCAGCAGGGGGGAAUAUUGCACAAUGGGCGGAAGCCUGAUGAAGCAACGCCGCGUGCGGGAUGACGGCCUUCGGGUUGUAAACCGCUUUCGCCUGUGACGAAGCGUGAGUGACGGUAAUGGGUAAAGAAGCACCGGCUAACUACGUG
RNAcentral lists this ribosomal RNA (468 nucleotides) under uncultured bacterium. RNAcentral's name for it is "partial 16S ribosomal RNA". It matches the Rfam family "Bacterial small subunit ribosomal RNA", at positions 28 to 507 of the family's 1533-position model. The record is from RNAcentral.